CUUUUGUUCUAAACGAAGAGAGUAUAUAUUGAGUACAUAUAUAAACUCGCCCACAUCUAUUCAAAUUGAAUUAUGCAUUUACUACCACAUUCCAUUUAGUUCGACCUUUUUUCUCUUUUUUUUCUUACAAGAACAUUGCGAAUUUGUCAAGAUGGCAGAUUUGAGGAAUCUCUGGAGAUCUUUUAAGAUUUUAGAAGCUAUUUUAUUCCUACGACAUUGAAGAAUGACCAACAUGAUCUUACGGUCAUGAAGAUUCAGGUAUUUUUUUCUCCCAAGCGAAGAUUCUGUUUGUCUUUUUAUAUUUGAGGGUACAGUCUAGUCUAGAAACUGAUAUCUAAGAAGCGCUCUUUGUCCUCAAAAUCACAUAUUUCAUUCUAAA
This is a long non-coding RNA of Capsicum annuum, 379 nucleotides long. RefSeq lists it as uncharacterized. The transcript has 3 exons. The record is from RefSeq and is a predicted model, not a curated record. NCBI's taxonomy places the organism in Eukaryota, Viridiplantae, Streptophyta, Magnoliopsida, Solanales, Solanaceae.